RNAcentral lists this ribosomal RNA (119 nucleotides) under Petromyzon marinus (sea lamprey). Lineage: Eukaryota; Metazoa; Chordata; Hyperoartia; Petromyzontiformes; Petromyzontidae. The record is from RNAcentral.
GCCAAUGCCUUAAACCAUGAACACACCGAAUCUCAUCAGAUUUUCGGAACCUGAGCAGAGAUGAGCCGGGUUAAUGCUCGGAAAGGAGACUGUCUGCAAAAUACCAGGUGCUGUAGGCU